AUGAAGGUCGUCGCUUUCAACUGCCGGAGGCUUGGGAACCAGCCGGCAGUCGAGGGCCUUCUGGAGCUACAGAAGGCUGAAGACCCUGACAUCCUCUUUCUUUCAGAAACAAAGCUGGACAGGGAGAGGAUGAAGCGAAUUAAGGUGUUGUUGGGAAUGCCCAACAUGGAGGUAAAGGACUGUGAGGGGCAAAGCGGUGGCUUGGCCCUUCUCUGGAAGAAGGAUGUAAAUGUAAGAGUGAACCCUGGGAUGUCGCGCUACCACAUCGACGCCGACGUCACUGGGGAGGAUGGGUUCGUCUGGAGGCUUACUGGUAUUUAUGGUGAGCCGAAGCACGGGGAGAAAGAGAAGACUUGGAAACUCUUGCGCAUCCUUCAUGGACGUUCCUCUCUGCCUUGGAUGUGUUUUGGUGACUUCAAUGAGAUCCUCUUCGCAAGUGAGAAGUAG
This 447-nucleotide ribosomal RNA is filed under the name Triticum aestivum (bread wheat). RNAcentral describes it as "partial small subunit ribosomal RNA". Lineage: Eukaryota; Viridiplantae; Streptophyta; Magnoliopsida; Poales; Poaceae. The record is from RNAcentral.